GAUGAACGCUGGCGGCGUGCCUAAUACAUGCAAGUCGAGCGAACGGACGAGAAGCUUGCUUCUCUGAUGUUAGCGGCGGACGGGUGAGUAACACGUGGAUAACCUACCUAUAAGACUUGGAUAACUUCGGGAAACCGGAGCUAAUACCGGAUGAUAUUUUGAACCGCAUGGUUCAAAAGUGAAAGACGGUCUUGCUGUCACUUAUAGAUGGAUCCGCGCUGCAUUAGCUAGUUGGUAAGGUAACGGCUUACCAAGGCAACGAUGCAUAGCCGACCUGAGAGGGUGAUCGGCCACACUGGAACUGAGACGCGGUCCAGACUCCUACGGGAGGCAGCAGUAGGGAAUCUUCCGCAAUGGGCGAAAGCCUGACGGAGCAACGCCGCGUGAGUGAUGAAGGUCUUCGGAUCGUAAAACUCUGUUAUUAGGGAAGAACAUAUGUGUAAGUAACUGUGCACAUCUUGACGGUACCUAAUCAGAAAGCCACGGCUAACUACGUG
Molecule: ribosomal RNA, 497 nt
Filed under: uncultured bacterium
Lineage: Bacteria
Description: partial 16S ribosomal RNA
Rfam family: Bacterial small subunit ribosomal RNA
Source: RNAcentral